UUUAUGGAGAGUUUGAUCCUGGCUCAGAGUGAACGCUGGCGGCGUGCCUAAUACAUGCAAGUCGAACGAUGAAGCUUCUAGCUUGCUAGAAUGCUGAUUAGUGGCGCACGGGUGAGUAACGCAUAGGUCAUGUGCCUCUUAGUUUGGGAUAGCCAUUGGAAACGAUGAUUAAUACCAGAUACUCCCUACGGGGGAAAGAUUUAUCGCUAAGAGAUCAGCCUAUGUCCUAUCAGCUUGUUGGUAAGGUAAUGGCUUACCAAGGCUAUGACGGGUAUCCGGCCUGAGAGGGUGAACGGACACACUGGAACUGAGACACGGUCCAGACUCCUACGGGAGGCAGCAGUAGGGAAUAUUGCUCAAUGGGGGAAACCCUGAAGCAGCAACGCCGCGUGGAGGAUGAAGGUUUUAGGAUUGUAAACUCCUUUUGUUAGAGAAGAUAAUGACGGUAUCUAACGAAUAAGCACCGGCUAACUCCGUGCCAGCAGCCGCGGUAAUACGGAGGGUGCAAGCGUUACUCGGAAUCACUGGGCGUAAAGAGCGCGUAGGCGGGACAGUCAGUCAGGUGUGAAAUCCUAUGGCUUAACCAUAGAACUGCAUUUGAAACUACUAUUCUAGAGUGUGGGAGAGGUAGGUGGAAUUCUUGGUGUAGGGGUAAAAUCCGUAGAGAUCAAGAGGAAUACUCAUUGCGAAGGCGACCUGCUGGAACAUUACUGACGCUGAUUGCGCGAAAGCGUGGGGAGCAAACAGGAUUAGAUACCCUGGUAGUCCACGCCCUAAACGAUGGAUGCUAGUUGUUGGAGGGCUUAGUCUCUCCAGUAAUGCAGCUAACGCAUUAAGCAUCCCGCCUGGGGAGUACGGUCGCAAGAUUAAAACUCAAAGGAAUAGACGGGGACCCGCACAAGCGGUGGAGCAUGUGGUUUAAUUCGAAGAUACACGAAGAACCUUACCUAGGCUUGACAUUGAGAGAAUCCGCUAGAAAUAGUGGAGUGUCUGGCUUGCCAGACCUUGAAAACAGGUGCUGCACGGCUGUCGUCAGCUCGUGUCGUGAGAUGUUGGGUUAAGUCCCGCAACGAGCGCAACCCCCUUUCUUAGUUGCUAACAGGUUAUGCUGAGAACUCUAAGGAUACUGCCUCCGUAAGGAGGAGGAAGGUGGGGACGACGUCAAGUCAUCAUGGCCCUUACGCCUAGGGCUACACACGUGCUACAAUGGGGUGCACAAAGAGAAGCAAUACUGCGAAGUGGAGCCAAUCUUCAAAACACCUCUCAGUUCGGAUUGUAGGCUGCAACUCGCCUGCAUGAAGCUGGAAUCGCUAGUAAUCGCAAAUCAGCCAUGUUGCGGUGAAUACGUUCCCGGGUCUUGUACUCACCGCCCGUCACACCAUGGGAGUUGUGUUUGCCUUAAGUCAGGAUGCUAAAUUGGCUACUGCCCACGGCACACACAGCGACUGGGGUGAAGUCGUAACAAGGUAACCGUAGGUGAACCUGCGGUUGGAUCACCUCCUUUCUAGA
RNAcentral lists this ribosomal RNA (1509 nucleotides) under Helicobacter pylori. RNAcentral describes it as "bacterial SSU rRNA". It matches the Rfam family "Bacterial small subunit ribosomal RNA". Lineage: Bacteria; Pseudomonadati; Campylobacterota; Epsilonproteobacteria; Campylobacterales; Helicobacteraceae. The record is from RNAcentral.